CCACAUCAGAAGGACAAACUAAGAACCUGUCCUUUAUUUGAGAUAAUCUAAGCAAAUCUUCAUGAAACUGAGUGGAUAGAUUACUAAAAGGGUUGGAUGAUGAGGGUGAAGGAUUGGGAAUGGUAGAGAGAGUAGGUGUUUCAGUAGCAGGGUUGUCAAUAAUUACAACAUCUGCCUCUGAAGGCUUGGGAGCACAAGUGUGAAUAUGCUCAGGAGAAGCAUGUUC
RNAcentral lists this long non-coding RNA (226 nucleotides) under Trifolium pratense (red clover). Its description in RNAcentral is "long non-coding RNA (TPRA_LNC006525)". The record is from RNAcentral. Lineage: Eukaryota; Viridiplantae; Streptophyta; Magnoliopsida; Fabales; Fabaceae.